UACGGAGGGUGCAAACGUUGCUCGGAAUCAUUGGGCGUAAAGCGCACGUAGGCGGCCUGUUAAGUCGGGUGUGAAAGCCCUGGGCUCAACCCAGGAAGUGCACUCGAAACUGGCGGGCUUGAAUAUGGAAGAGGGUCGCGGAAUUCCUGGUGUAGCGGUGAAAUGCGUAGAGAUCGGGAGGAACACCCGUGGCGAAGGCGGCCAACUGGGCCGACCCUGACGCUGAGGCGCGAAGGCGUGGGGAGCGAACGGG
RNAcentral lists this ribosomal RNA (253 nucleotides) under uncultured bacterium. RNAcentral describes it as "partial 16S ribosomal RNA". It matches the Rfam family "Bacterial small subunit ribosomal RNA", at positions 524 to 776 of the family's 1533-position model. The record is from RNAcentral.